AUUAAUAAGCGGAGGAAAAGAAACUAACAAGGAUUCCCUCAGUAACGGCGAGUGAAGCGGGAGGAGCUCAAAUUUGAAAUCUCCGGUGCUUGCAUCGGCGAGUUGUAGUUGCGAGAAGCACUUUCUAGGUGGAUCGGCGGUGCCUAAGUUGCUUGGAACAGCACGUCGCAGAGGGUGACAACCCCGUCUGUGGCGCCGCCGGCCGCUGACGAUGUGCUUUCGAAGAGUCGGGUUGUUUGGGAAUGCAGCCCAAAAUGGGUGGUAAACUCCAUCUAAAGCUAAAUACUGGCGUGAGACCGAUAGCGAACAAGUACCGUGAGGGAAAGAUGAAAAGAACUUUGAAAAGAGAGUUAAAAAGUACGUGAAACCGUCGGAAGGGAAACGAAUGGACUCAGCAAUGCGCCCUCUGAGAUUCAGCCGCGUGGGUGGCAUCGGCGCGGGGUUUGCGGAUCUGAAUGGACCGCGGCCCGGCGCUCGCUUCUCCCCGCCGUCGCACUUCUCUGGGGCGCGCGUCAACGUGGGUUGGGACUGGGUCUGAAAGGUGCCGGGAAGGUAGGUGUGGGCCUUCGGGUCCGUUCUGUUACAGCCCGGUUCUCUCAUGGCUCGGGCCCGACCGAGGAGCAGACAGGGCAUGCCUCCUGUGGCUAGGGUCCCGUCCUUCCGGCCGGCUGUCCAGUGUGGUGGACUGCUUGCAGUGCUCUGCGACGGCUGCCGGUCGUUGGGGUGGUGAUCUCGUACCAUGCCCUUGGGAUGUUGGCGGUCAUAUGG
Molecule: ribosomal RNA, 768 nt
Filed under: Dipsastraea lizardensis
Lineage: Eukaryota; Metazoa; Cnidaria; Anthozoa; Scleractinia; Merulinidae
Description: partial 28S ribosomal RNA
Rfam family: Eukaryotic large subunit ribosomal RNA
Source: RNAcentral